Molecule: transfer RNA, 98 nt
Filed under: Caudoviricetes sp.
Lineage: Duplodnaviria; Heunggongvirae; Uroviricota; Caudoviricetes
Description: tRNA-Lys
Rfam family: tRNA
About the family: Transfer RNA (tRNA) molecules are approximately 80 nucleotides in length. Their secondary structure includes four short double-helical elements and three loops (D, anti-codon, and T loops). Further hydrogen bonds mediate the characteristic L-shaped molecular structure. tRNAs have two regions of fundamental functional importance: the anti-codon, which is responsible for specific mRNA codon recognition, and the 3' end, to which the tRNAs corresponding amino acid is attached (by aminoacyl-tRNA synthetases). tRNAs cope with the degeneracy of the genetic code in two manners: having more than one tRNA (with a specific anti-codon) for a particular amino acid; and 'wobble' base-pairing, i.e. permitting non-standard base-pairing at the 3rd anti-codon position.
Source: RNAcentral
GCAGGUGUAAGCUGUAGGUCAGUAUCGGAACAGAAAAAAUCCGGUCGGCGGCUUAGUCCUUUCCCGCCUCACAGGUUCGAUUCCUGUCACCUGCACCA